CAGAGCACUUUUCUGUAAACAGAACCCAGGACUGUAAAAUACCUAUUUGAUGAUGAUGGGAGUCAUAUAAGCACAGUGGUUGGAAACAGCUAUGUGUCAAGAGGGAACUGGGUUUUUCCCCCUACUUUCUGUGAUGACUACUUGGGUGUCACAGUUAAUUCCUGUAGAGAUUAUACUGGAUUUUGCCAACUGUUACAUAAGCUUUAAACUGGUGUUUUCAACUUUCAUGUGACUUGAAUGAAGGUCAUCCCUAUCUCAAGCUCAAGAAUAAUUCUAGGUUGAUCUAAGCCCAUGGUCUUCAAAGUGUGGUUUGCAGACGUCUAAAGGUCUCCAAGACUCUUUCAGAAGAUCUAAAAGGCCAAAAACUAUUUUGAUGACUGUACUAAGAAGUUACAGUAUUUGUGUUUUAUUAAUGUAAAUUUGUUGACAUUUGAUGAUGAUGCAAAAGUUGCAGAGGAUAAUACUGCUAAGACCUUAGCACAAAUAAGGAAAACCACUUGGACAAAAGGUAUAAGCUGAACUAGUCACAUUUGUCAUAAGUGCCAUGUUUUACUUGAAAGAAUUAUUGACAAACUAUGGUUAUUCAGACAUAGAUAUUUGGCAAAUGUUUUCUCAAAAAUGUCAUAUAGGAGGAGACAACUGACUAUUUCUUGACAAAGAUAAAAUUUAAGCUUUUAAAAAUUAGAAUUUGGAAAUAUUGUAAACUUGAUAAAGACUUUUCUCAUAAGGUUGGUAGUAGGUGGUAUCAAUUGAUGUGAGUUUUUGCUAUUGUAGAGUGAAAUGUGUCAACAUUUAGAAGAUUUGCAAAUCAGUGAAUCAGUAUUUUCCAAAUCAUCAAUGCAUGAUACUAAAAAAUUACACAAGUGUAAAUAUCCAUUCAAAAUAUGAUAUACAUACAGAGCUAUUUAACAGAAUAUCAAUUAACUUGAUUUGUGAUGUUUUCUAAAUCAGUGGAUGUUUGAAAACUAUUUCUAAAAUGUCAAUACAAUCAGUAUCACUUAAUUUAAAUACAAAUUAAUAAAUAUUUGAUUUUGGUAGUGUCUUUUCAUUAAAAUAUUCAAGAAACCCUGUUAAUAAAGAGUAAA
Cervus elaphus (red deer) is the source of this 1085-nucleotide long non-coding RNA. RefSeq lists it as uncharacterized. Lineage: Eukaryota; Metazoa; Chordata; Mammalia; Artiodactyla; Cervidae. The record is from RefSeq and is a predicted model, not a curated record. The transcript is spliced from 3 exons.